UUUGUGUAGAAGCUCUUUGCCGUGUUGCUGUGAGCUAUGACUUUUCACACACACUCUACUCACUGUGUUCACAGGGUGUGUAUCUUCAGGAAGAUCUUCUGCUUUGUGUGUGUCACAAUGCUUCUGGUUUUCAGUCUGUACACCGCGGUACCGUACUGGUACACAGAGUAAGAGCUCUAAUAGCUCUUUCUUCACUCCAUCAUUGCAUUUCUUACAAACGUGGAAAUGAGUGUGUUACGUACCGAGAGCCUCCAGGUCGUCUUUGUGAUGUUCGCAGCACUUUGUGUCAAAUCCGGAAAAGAGGCUCAACUGGAUCCGAAAGAGACUGAAACCAUCAAUAGGAUCACAUGGAAGAAAGAGAACAACAAAAUAGUCGAGUGGAUCGAGAAUCCAAAACCGCACAGAACCUGUGUCCAAACCUCGAGUCGCCAGAGACUGCAGUUGGACCCAGUGCAUCCUGGCCUGUGUGGGAGAGGAGACUAAUCACACCAAAUACUCCUGGAAAGAGAACAAGGAAACUGUAAAAGAGGGAAACAUUUUGAUGGUGGAGAAGAGUGGAGAGCAGAGUAAAAGUUACACCUGUGUGUUCAGUAACCCUAAGAGUGAGGAGCACAGUGACCCAGUCAGUGCGAUGGACAUAUCCCCAGGUCAGUAGUUGAACGUUUUUAAAAAAUACUCUGUAUUACAAUAUUUCUUAUAUGAUAUUCUAGAUUUCAGUAAAGUUGGUGUCAAGACUCCAGAGCAAUACUUUCUGCCAGUGGAAGUUCAUGACCUUCUGUAACAUUUGUUGAAAAUUAUGGAUUUUUUGGAACUGUAAUUUUAUACAUGUAUGGAUGAUUUAUCAAGUUUAUUAGGUUAAUUCCUUUGAUAAACUGUUUCUUUUAAAGGUUCUUCCGUUGGACUGAUAGUCGUUUUCAUCGUUGGAGUAACUGAGUUCCUGAUCCUCAGUCUAGUGGCCGUCAUCAUUUGAUGUUUAAAACAAAAUAAUUCCUAGGUCAUUAAAGCCCAUUAUUCCAAAAAAAUACUGAUAUCUGAGCAGAAUUAAUACACAGGUACCAUGACAUGAAGGUUCAGGACCUGUAUCUGUCACAGAGGUCUGUUGGUUGUACCUUCAGUCAAAGUAUCCCUCAGCAGAAGGUCAUGUUGGACUGGAGCGACUGCUGAGAGCAGAAGCACAAAGAGUCCAGUUCCUCCAACAGUGUUUCAUAGCUACACGUCACAUCAUUGUGUCCAUUUCAGUGCUUCUUCAGGGUUACGAGUGAAUUCCUAGUUGAUGAUCCUGCCUGUGAAGUUCUGCUCUCUGCUUCACGUCACACUUUCAGUGCCUGCUGUUGAACUUCUCUCAUUGUCUCCAGGAU
Molecule: long non-coding RNA, 1358 nt
Filed under: Scleropages formosus (Asian bonytongue)
Lineage: Eukaryota; Metazoa; Chordata; Actinopteri; Osteoglossiformes; Osteoglossidae
Description: lncRNA (ENSSFOG00015025448.1)
Source: RNAcentral